RNAcentral lists this transfer RNA (64 nucleotides) under Mycobacterium intracellulare subsp. intracellulare. Its description in RNAcentral is "tRNA-Ser". The record is from RNAcentral. RNAcentral also lists the same sequence under 1 other name. Lineage: Bacteria; Bacillati; Actinomycetota; Actinomycetes; Mycobacteriales; Mycobacteriaceae.
GCCACGAACCGGUCUGGGCUGCCUCCGGAGCAGAAGGCCGCAGGUUCGAAUCCUGCCGGGGGCA